GAUGAAGAACGCAGCGAAAUGCGAUAAGUAAUGUGAAUUGCAGAAUUCAGUGAAUCAUCGAAUCUUUGAACGCACAUUGCGCCCCUUGGUAUUCCGAGGGGCAUGCCUGUUCGAGCGUCAUUAUAACCCCUCAAGCUCAGCUUGGUGUUGGGGCCUGCUGCACUGGCAGCCCUUAAAAUCAGUGGCGGCGCCAUCUGGCUCUAAGCGUAGUAAUUCUUCUCGCUAUGGAGUCCUGGCGGAUGCUUGCCAUCAACCCCCAAUUUUUCUAUGGUUGACCUCGGAUCAGGUAGGGAUACCCGCUGAACUUAAGCAUAUCAAUAAGCGGAGGA
This 329-nucleotide unclassified non-coding RNA is filed under the name soil metagenome. RNAcentral's name for it is "partial contains 5.8S ribosomal RNA, internal transcribed spacer 2, and large subunit ribosomal RNA". The stretch from base 1 to 120 matches the Rfam family "5.8S ribosomal RNA", at positions 35 to 154 of the family's 154-position model. The record is from RNAcentral.